AGCGAACGCUGGCGGCAGGCUUAACACAUGCAAGUCGAGCGGGCAUCCUUGUGGUGUCAGCGGCAGACGGGUGAGUAACGCGUGGGAACGUGCCCUUCGGUUCGGAAUAACUCAGGGAAACUUGAGCUAAUACCGGAUACGCCCUUCUGGGGAAAGGCUUGCUGCCGAAGGAUCGGCCCGCGUCUGAUUAGCUGGUUGGUGAGGUUACGGCUCACCAAGGCGACGAUCAGUAGCUGGUCUGAGAGGAUGAUCAGCCACACUGGGACUGAGACACGGCCCAGACUCCUACGGGAGGCAGCAGUGGGGAAUAUUGGACAAUGGGGGCAACCCUGAUCCAGCCAUGCCGCGUGAGUGAUGACGGCCUUAGGGUUGUAAAGCUCUUUUCUCCGGGACGAUAAUGACGGUACCGGAGGAAUAAGCCCCGGCUAACUUCGUG
This 436-nucleotide ribosomal RNA is filed under the name uncultured bacterium. Its description in RNAcentral is "partial 16S ribosomal RNA". It matches the Rfam family "Bacterial small subunit ribosomal RNA", at positions 29 to 507 of the family's 1533-position model. The record is from RNAcentral. RNAcentral also lists the same sequence under 1 other name.